GCUGGUGUGGCUCAGUCGGUAGCGCAGCUGAUUCGUAAUCAGCAGGUCGCCGGUUCGAUUCCGGCCACCAGCU
This 73-nucleotide transfer RNA is filed under the name Deferribacteraceae bacterium. RNAcentral's name for it is "tRNA-Thr". It matches the Rfam family "tRNA". From Rfam's summary of the family: Transfer RNA (tRNA) molecules are approximately 80 nucleotides in length. Lineage: Bacteria; Pseudomonadati; Deferribacterota; Deferribacteres; Deferribacterales; Deferribacteraceae. The record is from RNAcentral.